Molecule: ribosomal RNA, 554 nt
Filed under: Torulaspora delbrueckii
Lineage: Eukaryota; Fungi; Ascomycota; Saccharomycetes; Saccharomycetales; Saccharomycetaceae
Description: partial large subunit ribosomal RNA
Source: RNAcentral
GCGAGUGAAGCGGCAAAAGCUCAAAUUUGAAAUCUGGUACCUUCGGUGCCCGAGUUGUAAUUUGUAGAAGGUAACUUUGGGGCUGGUCCUUGUCUAUGUUCCUUGGAACAGGACGUCAUAGAGGGUGAGAAUCCCGUGUGGCGAGGAUCCCAGUUCUUUGUAAAGUGCUUUCGAAGAGUCGAGUUGUUUGGGAAUGCAGCUCUAAGUGGGUGGUAAAUUCCAUCUAAAGCUAAAUAUUGGCGAGAGACCGAUAGCGAACAAGUACAGUGAUGGAAAGAUGAAAAGAACUUUGAAAAGAGAGUGAAAAAGUACGUGAAAUUGUUGAAAGGGAAGGGCAUUUGAUCAGACAUGGUGUUUUGCGCCCUCUGCUCCUUGUGGGUGGGGGAAUCUCGCAGCUCACUGGGCCAGCAUCAGUUUUGGCGGCAGGAUAAAUCUGCAGGAAUGUAGCUUGCCUCGGUAAGUGUUAUAUCCUGUAGAAAUACUGCCAGCUGGGACUGAGGACUGCGACUUUACGUCAAGGAUGCUGGCAUAAUGGUURWAUGCCGCCCGUCUUG